Molecule: ribosomal RNA, 472 nt
Filed under: uncultured Methanosaeta sp.
Lineage: Archaea; Methanobacteriati; Methanobacteriota; Methanomicrobia; Methanotrichales; Methanotrichaceae
Description: bacterial SSU rRNA
Rfam family: Archaeal small subunit ribosomal RNA
Source: RNAcentral
GGACGGGGAGCACCACAACGGGUGGAGCUUGCGGUUUAAUUGGAUUCAACGCCGGAAAUCUUACCGGGACCGACAGCAAUAUGAAGGCCAGGCUGAAGACUUUGCCGGAUUAGCUGAGAGGUGGUGCAUGGCCGUCGUCAGUUCGUACUGUGAAGCAUCCUGUUAAGUCAGGCAACGAGCGAGACCCACGCCCACAGUUGCCAGCGUACUCUCUGGAGUGACGGGUACACUGUGGGGACCGCCGCUGCCAAAGCGGAGGAAGGAAUGGGCAACGGUAGGUCAGUAUGCCCCGAAUAUCCCGGGCUACACGCGAGCUACAAUGGUUGGUACAAUGGGUAUCUACCCCGAAAGGGGACGGGAAUCUCCUAAAACCAAUCUUAGUUCGGAUUGAGGGCUGCAACUCGCCCUCAUGAAGCUGGAAUCCGCAGUAAUCGCGUUUCAACAGAACGCGGUGAAUACGUCCCUGCUCCUU